This 2582-nucleotide long non-coding RNA is filed under the name Macaca mulatta (Rhesus monkey). RNAcentral's name for it is "lncRNA (ENSMMUG00000062973.1)". Lineage: Eukaryota; Metazoa; Chordata; Mammalia; Primates; Cercopithecidae. The record is from RNAcentral.
GGUCUCACUCUGUAGCCCAGGCUGGAGCGCGAUCUCAGCUCACAGCUCACUGCAGCUUUGCCUCCCAGGUUCAAACGAUUCUCCUGCUUCAGCCUCUCGAGUAGCUGGGAUGACAGGCAUGAGCCAUUGCACCAGACCGACUUGUCUCAAAAAAAAAAAAAAAAAAAAAAAGGAUCUAGGCUUCCUUAUUACUAUCUGAAGAAAUAAUUACGUUUGCUUCUUUCCAAAUUUGGCAGUAACUAAACUUAAACAUUUUUUUUUUUUUGAGACAGAGUCUUGCUCUGUCGCCCAGGCUGGAGUGCAGUGGCUGGAUCUCACCUCACUGCAAGCUCUGCUUCCCGGGUUCCCGCCAUUCGCCUGCCACAGCCUCCUGAGUAGCUGGGACUACAGGCGCCGGCCACCUCACCCGGUAAUUUUUUGUAUUUUUUAGUAGAGACAGGGUUUCACUGUGUUAGCCAGGAUGGUCUUGAUCUCCUAACCUCACGAUCCGCCCAUCUCGGCCUCCCAGAGUGCUGGGAUUACAGGAAUGAGCCACCGCACCCGGCCAACAAAAAUCUUUUGAAGCACAUUUGCUUUUGCAGUUAGCCUGUUGGUCUCCAGAGUUCCUGUACUGCUGUGCCCAUGAUGGCCGCCAAAGCUGCACCCAUGGUGACUCUUCCUGCUGAAGCAAAGCCCCGCAGGACAAUAAGGGUCAGGAAUCUGGGAGCGGCUCGACUGGACCGUUUAGUCUCUUGGACUGGACGAGCUUGCAGUCCAGCUGAUUGAUGGCCAGGGCUGUGGUCGUCUGAAGCUUGACUGGUGCUGGAGGACCUGCAUCGCGUCCAGGGUGGAGAACUCAUGCAGCUGCUGCCAGGAGGCCUCAGCUCCUCGUCACGUGGGCCCUUCCCUAGAGCCAGUGACCAGAGGGCAGGAGCCACAGCCUUUUCUAUCCUCAACUCAGAAUUGACCGUCACCUCUGCCAAAUUGGUCGCCAAAACCCACCCUUGGACAAUGUGGGAGGGACUGGCUGGGGUGUGAGUAUCCGGUGACGGGGUCAUGGAGGGCCAGCUGGGCUGCUGAGCAUAUUGAUGAUUGUAUUGAGAUCUGCUCAGCAAGACGUAUCCAGGCAGCUCCUUAUGGCUCCUGACCAUGUGGACCAGGCCCAGGCCCAGCCUUCACAGCCACACUGAUCAACUCAGGAACAGAAAGUCAAACCUGUUAAGUCCGUCCUCUCGAUUUGUAUUUGGAGAAGAGACUUUGCCUUUCGGGUCCCAGAGCUAGAAGGGUGAACUGUGAAGAGAGCUGUUAGCAUCUUUCCACCUGGCGAGGAAGCCAGCCACGGCUGAAGAGGACCAGGCCCACAGAGUGGAAAAGAAGGCAGGAGAUGAGCGUCCCAGAGCCAGGCCUGUGUCCCUAGAUCCAGUCCCUCGAAGGGGCUCCCUUUCAUUUCCUCGUCAUGAGCCAAUCCCCUUUUUACUAUGUUGCCUGUCUAAGUCCAUUAGCUACUGGGCUGCUCACACUGGCCAGAGGCCUGGGGACCUUCCUGAACAUCCCUGGCAAGGCUUCAGAAGCCUCAUAUGGGUCCAGCUACUAGGAAAGAAGGAUCAUCUCUGGGCAUCAAUUUAUAGCCUAUUCCUAAAAGUAACUAGUUUGAGGUGUCUCUGGUCCCAGGGAGAAUUCCUUAGGGGAAUGAGACGCUAUUUGAAGCGAGAAAAGGUUUGCUAGUCUGUGGCUGGUCUCCCAGUUUUAUUUUUAUUUAUUUAUUUUUUGAGACAGAGUUUCACUCGUUGCCCAGGCUGGAGUGCAAUGGUGCAUUCUUGGCUCACCACUGCAACCUCCAUCUCUGGGGUUCAAGUGAUUCUCCUGCCUAGUCUCCCAAGUAGCUGGGAUUACUGGCGCCUGCCACCAAGACUGGGUAAUUUUUAUAGUUUUUAGUAGAGAUGGGGUUUCACCAUGUUGGUCAGGCUGGUCUCGAACCCCUGACCUCAGGUGAUCUGCCUGCCUCGGCCUCCCAAAGUGCUGGGAUUGUAGAUGUGAGCCACUGCACCUGGCCUGGUCUCCCAGUUUUGAAUGUGCCAUGUAGCCAACAGGAUGCUAUGUUUGCUUGUCUCUGGGAUACAGCCAGUCAUCAGAUGGUUGUGUCUUCACCGUUUCAUUCCCAGCCAGCCACUGUCAGCUGAACUGCUCCCUGAUGCCUGCUGGACAGAACCUGGAGUCUCCCUUGAGGAUGGCGGUCUCAUGCCAUCAGGCCUUAUCAUUAGGUGACAGGUUAUCACUGGCUUGUGGCCGUUGGAGGUUCUCAGCACAUCAGCAGUGGAUCUGCUGCUCGGGAGUUUCCCAUGAACCACAUUGGAAUUUUGACAGCCACAGCUAACAGGGAAGAGGCUCGGUGACCAGUGACACAUCCCGGCCUUUUCUGCCAACACCUAAAAGAAACUCUACUUGGCUGGGUGCGGUGGCUCACGCCUGUAAUCCCAGCACUUUGAGAGGCUGAGGGAGGUCGAUCACUUGAGGUCAGGAGUUCGACACCAGCCUUGCCAACAUGGUGAAACCCCAUUGCUACUAAAAAAAUGCAAAAAAAAAAAAAAAAAAAAAAAAAAAAA